GGAAAUACGUUCUUUGUUAAACUAUGGAAUAAAGUUAAUGAGUAGUAGGUUUGGGUUGGCAAGCACUUCCUUCUUCUAUGUUAAUUCUUUUCACCAAUACAAUCAAUCUAUUAUUAGUGGAUUAAUAUAUGGCUUAAAGUUGUCAUAUUGGUAAUCUUGAAUCUUGUCAUGAAUAAACAGUUAAAGGGCACAGAUUUUUACUUUUUUCUAACUUUACUUACUUUAAUAUUUUGUCAUGAAUAUACAGAUGACGAAGAGCCCAGAUUUUGCCUACUUUGUUUACUUUUCUUUUACUUUAAUCUUUUGUCAUGAAUAUACAGAUGACGAAGAACCCAGAUUUUGCUUACUUUAUUUACUUUAAUCUUUUGUCAUGAAUAUACAGACGAGGAAGAACCCAGAUUUUGCUUACUUCCUUACUUUACCUUUACUUUUUAUAAUCUACAGGUAUAACCACACACCAUUACACACAUCUGAGGCCAAGGAAGGAAGGAAGGAAGGUGAACACUCAAUCAUCAAUUCCAAAAUCAUUCUUCUAAUUGAGGACAAGGAAGGAAGGAAGGAAGGUGAACACUCAAUCAUCAAUUCCAAACUCAUUCUUCUAAUUGAGGACAAGGAAGAAAGGAAGGAAGGAAGGAAGGUGAACACUCAAUCAUCAAUUACAAACUCAUUCUUCUAAUUGAGGACAAGGAAGAAAGGAAGGAAGGAAGGUGAACACUCAAUCAUCAAUUACAAACUCAUUCUUCUAAUUGAGGACAAGGAAGGAAGGAAGGAAGGAAGGAAGGUGAACACUCAAUCAUCAAUUACAAACUCAUUCUUCUAAUUGAGGACAAGGAAGAAAGGAAGGAAGGAAGGAAGGUGAACACUCAAUCAUCAAUUCCAAACUCAUUUUUCUAAUUGAGGACAAGGAAGAAAGGAAGGAAGGAAGGAAGGUGAACACUCAAUCAUCAAUUCCAAACUCAUUCUUCUAAUUGAGGACAAGGAAGGAAGAAAGGAAGGAAGGUGAACACUCAAUCAUCAAUUCCAAACUCAUUCUUCUAAUUGAGGACAAGGAAGGAAGGAAGGAAGGAAGGUGAACACUCAAUCAUCAAUUCCAAACUCAUUCUUCUAAUUGAGGACAAGGAAGGAAGGAAGGAAGGAAGGUGAACACUCAAUCAUCAAUUCCAAACUCAUUCUUCUAAUUGAGGACAAGGAAGGAAGGAAGGAAGGAAGGAAGGUGAACACUCAAUCAUCAAUUCCAAACUCAUUCUUCUAAUUGAGGACAAGGAAGGAAGGAAGGAAGGAAGGUGAACACUCAAUCAUCAAUUCCAAACUCAUUCUUCUAAUUGAGGACAAGGAAGGAAGGAAGGAAGGAAGGAAGGUGAACACUCAAUCAUCAAUUCCAAACUCAUUCUUCUAAUUGAGGACAAGGAAGGAAGGAAGGAAGGAAGGAAGGUGAACACUCAAUCAUCAAUUCCAAACUCAUUCUUCUAAUUGAGGACAAGGAAGGAAGGAAGGAAGGAAGGAAGGUGAACACUCAAUCAUCAAUUACAAACUCAUUCUUCUAAUUGAGGACAAGGAAGGAAGGAAGGAAGGAAGGUGAACACUCAAUCAUCAAUUCCAAACUCAUUCUUCUAAUUGAGGACAAGAAAGGAAGGAGGAAGGAAGGUGAACACUCAAUCAUCAAUUCCAAACUCAUUCUUCUAAUUGAGGACAAGGAAGGAAGGAAGGAAGGAAGGAAGGUGAACACUCAAUCAUCAAUUCCAAACUCAUUCUUCUAAUUGAGGACAAGGAAGGAAGGAAGGAAGGAAGGAAGGUGAACACUCAAUCAUCAAUUCCAAACUCAUUCUUCUAAUUGAGGACAAGGAAGGAAGGAAGGAAGGAAGGUGAACACUCAAUCAUCAAUUCCAAACUCAUUCUUCUAAUUGAGGACAAGGAAGGAAGGAAGGAAGGAAGGAAGGUGAACACUCAAUCAUCAAUUCCAAACUCAUUCUUUUAAUUGAGGACAAGGAAGGAAGGAAGGAAGGAAGGAAGGAAGGUGAACACUCAAUCAUCAAUUCCAAACUCAUUCUUUUAAUUGAGGACAAGGAAGGAAGGAAGGAAGGAAGGAAGGAAGGAAGGUGAACACUCAAUCAUCAAUUCCAAACUCAUUCUUUUAAUUGAGGACAAGGAAGGAAGAAAGGAAGGAAGGUGAACACUCAAUCAUCAAUUCCAAACUCAUUCUUUUAAUUGAGGACAAGGAAGGAAGAAAGGAAGGAAGGUGAACACUCAAUCAUCGAUUCCAAACUCGUUUUUUUAAAGUAAUCAGUUUAUUUGAUACUCAGCAGAACACAAACACAAGAGCUGAACCUCACUCAUUUCUCUUCUUUAUUUUAUCACACAUAGUUUUCUUCCCCUUCCAUUAUUACGACACUUUCGAGGCUUCUCAAGAAUCCCCCUUCGAGAGUAACGCGACUCACUUAAUGACUAAUCUAAGGAUAUGAUAAACGAUAAUAAUAAUAAUUGUGGUCCUGUAACUUUAUCUUCAGAACUGACCUACACAAUAAAACACUCACGAGUACGUUCCACUAAAAUUAAAUCAAUGUAGAUAUCUCGUCUUUUUUUUAGAAUGUUUCACUUACUUCCUCAAAUCACAAUUUCCGAAACACUUGUUGCUUUCGAUUAAAAAAAAAAUUGAUUCGUAUUGUAAUCUUAAGCGAGACAUUCACUCACAAACGACAUGGACACAAAAUUUUGCUCAUUCUUAAAUCGUACCACAAACUUUGGCCCAUGUUGCUUCGAUUUGUACCAAAAGGAAAAACAGUAGCGGUGACAACAAUAGACAGAAGGGAGGAG
This is a long non-coding RNA of Eriocheir sinensis (Chinese mitten crab), 2811 nucleotides long. RefSeq lists it as uncharacterized. The transcript has 2 exons. The record is from RefSeq and is a predicted model, not a curated record. Lineage: Eukaryota; Metazoa; Arthropoda; Malacostraca; Decapoda; Varunidae.